AUGGCCACAAGGAGGCCACUUGAGCUACUUCACAUGGAUCUUUUUGGUCCCAACUCUUACAAGAGUCUCGGUGGAAAUUCUUUUGGUCUAGUUAGAGUUGAUGAUUUUUCAAGAUUUACGUGGGUGUUCUUUCUCGAUGAUAAAUCGCAGGUCCAAAAGAUCUUCAAAAACUUCGCUAGGAAGGCCCAAAAUCAAUUUGAAGUGAAGAUCAAGAAGGUUCGCAGCGACAACGGAACGGAGUUCAAGAACGCAAAUGUGGACACCUUUCUUGACGAAGAAGGGAUUUCACACGAGUUCUCGGCUACGUACACACCUCAACAAAAUGGAGUUGUUGAGAGGAAGAACCGGACGCUCAUCAAAAUGGCGAGAACGAUGCUUGAUGAGUACAAGACGCCGAAGCACUUUUGGGCGGAAGCGGUUGAGACAGCUUGUCAUGCAACAAAUCGCUUGUAUCUUCACAAGCUACUCGGCAAGACGGCAUACGAGCUCCUCACCGGUAACAAACCCCAAGUUGGAUACUUUUGA
Molecule: ribosomal RNA, 525 nt
Filed under: Triticum aestivum (bread wheat)
Lineage: Eukaryota; Viridiplantae; Streptophyta; Magnoliopsida; Poales; Poaceae
Description: partial small subunit ribosomal RNA
Source: RNAcentral